Molecule: small RNA, 147 nt
Filed under: Drosophila yakuba
Lineage: Eukaryota; Metazoa; Arthropoda; Insecta; Diptera; Drosophilidae
Description: GE29057
Source: RNAcentral
UUCCAUCCCUGGUCUGUUUAUUUGGUUUUUCACAAAUUUGAAAAAUGCCCCAGCAAAUUCGCGUGGUACAAUACAUCCAAUGCAAAAUGUACCAGGUGGACUUCGUGAAAAAGGCCAACACAUGGCAGUGUAAAGUUUGCCGGCAAA